This 412-nucleotide ribosomal RNA is filed under the name uncultured bacterium. Its description in RNAcentral is "bacterial SSU rRNA". It matches the Rfam family "Bacterial small subunit ribosomal RNA", at positions 917 to 1333 of the family's 1533-position model. The record is from RNAcentral.
GGGCCCGCACAAGCGGUGGAGCAUGUGGUUUAAUUCGAUGCAACGCGAAGAACCUUACCAGGACUUGACAUACUACAAAUUCUUUUGAGAAAAAGAAGUGCCUUCGGGAAUGUAGAUACAGGUGGUGCAUGGCUGUCGUCAGCUCGUGUCGUGAGAUGUUGGGUUAAGUCCCGCAACGAGCGCAACCCUUAUUUUUAGUUACCAAUUCGUUGGGUUCUCUAGAAAGACUGCCGGUGACAAACCGGAGGAAGGUGAGGAUGACGUCAAGUCAGCAUGCCCCUUAUGUCCUGGGCUACACACGUGCUACAAUGGUUAAGACAAAGAGUCGCGAGCUCGUGAGAGUCAGCUAAUCUCAUAAACUUAGCCCAAGUUCAGAUUGUAGGCUGCAACUCGCCUACAUGAAGUUGGAAUC